RNAcentral lists this ribosomal RNA (251 nucleotides) under uncultured prokaryote. RNAcentral describes it as "partial 16S rRNA". It matches the Rfam family "Bacterial small subunit ribosomal RNA", at positions 525 to 775 of the family's 1533-position model. The record is from RNAcentral.
ACGGAGGGUGCAAGCGUUGUUCGGAAUUACUGGGCGUAAAGCGCGUGUAGGCGGCUUGGUAAGUCGGAUGUGAAAUCCCUCGGCUUAACCGAGGACGUGCAUCCGAUACUGCUAGGCUUGAGUCUCGGAGAGGGAAGUGGAAUUCCCGGUGUAGAGGUGAAAUUCGUAGAUAUCGGGAGGAACACCAGUGGCGAAGGCGACUUCCUGGACGAAGACUGACGCUGAGACGCGAAAGCGUGGGGAGCAAACAG